This 468-nucleotide ribosomal RNA is filed under the name uncultured bacterium. RNAcentral's name for it is "partial 16S ribosomal RNA". It matches the Rfam family "Bacterial small subunit ribosomal RNA", at positions 28 to 507 of the family's 1533-position model. The record is from RNAcentral.
GACGAACGCUGGCGGCGUGCUUAACACAUGCAAGUCGAACGGAAAGGCCCUGCUUUUGUGGGGUGCUCGAGUGGCGAACGGGUGAGUAACACGUGAGUAACCUGCCCUUGACUUUGGGAUAACUUCAGGAAACUGGGGCUAAUACCGGAUAGGAGCUCCUGCUGCAUGGUGGGGGUUGGAAAGUUUCGGCGGUUGGGGAUGGACUCGCGGCUUAUCAGCUUGUUGGUGGGGUAGUGGCUUACCAAGGCUUUGACGGGUAGCCGGCCUGAGAGGGUGACCGGCCACAUUGGGACUGAGCUCCGGCCCAGACUCCUACGGGAGGCAGCAGUGGGGAAUAUUGCACCAUGGGCGGAAGCCUGAUGCAGCAACGCCGCGUGCGGGAUGACGGCCUUCGGGUUGUAAACCGCUUUCGCCUGUGACGAAGCGUGAGUGACGGUAAUGGGUAAAGAAGCACCGGCUAACUACGUG